RNAcentral lists this ribosomal RNA (446 nucleotides) under uncultured bacterium. RNAcentral's name for it is "bacterial SSU rRNA". It matches the Rfam family "Bacterial small subunit ribosomal RNA", at positions 329 to 792 of the family's 1533-position model. The record is from RNAcentral.
GUCCAGACUCCUACGGGAGGCAGCAGUGGGGAAUAUUGCACAAUGGGGGAAACCCUGAUGCAGCGACGCCGCGUGAGCGAUGAAGUAUUUCGGUAUGUAAAGCUCUCUCAGCAGGGAAGAAGAUGACGGUACCUGACUAAGAAGCCCCGGCUAACUACGUGCCAGCAGCCGCGGUAAUACGUAGGGGGCAAGCGUUAUCCGGAUUUACUGGGUGUAAAGGGAGCGUAGACGGCGAUGCAAGCCAGAUGUGAAAGCCCGGGGCUCAACCCCGGGACUGCAUUUGGAACUGUGUGGCUGGAGUGUCGGAGAGGCAGGCGGAAUUCCUAGUGUAGCGGUGAAAUGCGUAGAUAUUAGGAGGAACACCAGUGGCGAAGGCGGCCUGCUGGACGAUGACUGACGUUGAGGCUCGAAAGCGUGGGGAGCAAACAGGAUUAGAUACCCUCGUA